AGUGACGUACGGGUGCGUAACACGUAUGCAACCUACCUUGUACAGGGGUAUAGCUCGGGGAAACUCGAAUUAACACCCCAUAACAUAAUGAUGUGGCAUCACAUUAUUAUUAAAACUCCGGUGGUACAAGAUGGGCAUGCGUCUGAUUAGUUAGUUGGCGGGGUAAUGGCCCACCAAGACGAUGAUCAGUAGGGGACCUGAGAGGGUGAUCCCCCACACUGGCACUGAGAUACGGGCCAGACUCCUACGGGAGGCAGCAGUAGGGAAUAUUGGUCAAUGGAUGCAAGUCUGAACCAGCCAUGCCGCGUGCAGGAAGAAGGCGUUAUGCGUUGUAAACUGCUUUUGCCAGGGGAUAAAAUAACUGUGCGCAGUUAAUUGAAGGUACCUGGUGAAUAAGCCACGGCUAACUACGUGCCAGCAGCCGCGGUAAUACGUAGGUGGCAAGCGUUGUCCGGAUUUAUUGGGUUUAAAGGGUGCGUAGGUGGCCCUGUAAGUCAGUGGUGAAAUAUCUCAGCUUAACUGAGAGGGUGCCAUUGAUACUGCAGGGCUUGAGUACAGAUGAGGUAGGCGGAAUUGACGGUGUAGCGGUGAAAUGCAUAGAUAUCGUCAAGAACACCGAUAGCGAAGGCAGCUUACCAAGCUGUAACUGACACUGAGGCACGAAAGUGUGGGGAUCAAACAGGAUUAGAUACCCUGCUAGUCCACACUGU
Molecule: ribosomal RNA, 710 nt
Filed under: uncultured Cytophagaceae bacterium
Lineage: Bacteria; Pseudomonadati; Bacteroidota; Cytophagia; Cytophagales; Cytophagaceae
Description: bacterial SSU rRNA
Rfam family: Bacterial small subunit ribosomal RNA
Source: RNAcentral